GAUGAACGCUGGCGGCGUGCCUAAUACAUGCAAGUCGAACGAGGAGCCAUUGUAUUCGUACGGUGGUUUCCUAGUGGCGAACGGGUGAGUAACGCGUUGGUGACCUGCCCCGAAGAGAGGGAUAACAGCUCGAAAGGGCUGCUAAUACCUCAUGUGGACCCAGAGGUUAGAGGCUUUGUGUCUAAAGGAGCAAUCCGCUUCGGGAGGGGCCUGCGUCCCAUCAGCUAGUUGGUAGGGUAAUGGCCUACCAAGGCGACGACGGGUAGGGGACCUGAGAGGGUGACCCCCCACAUUGGCACUGAAACACGGGCCAGACACCUACGGGUGGCAGCAGUAGGGAAUAUUGCACAAUGGGCGAAAGCCUGAUGCAGCAACGCCGCGUGCACGAAGAAGGCCCUCGGGUCGUAAAGUGCUUUUCGGGGAGAUGAGAAAGGACAGUAUCCCCGGAAUAAGGAUCGGCUAACUACGUG
RNAcentral lists this ribosomal RNA (470 nucleotides) under uncultured bacterium. Its description in RNAcentral is "bacterial SSU rRNA". It matches the Rfam family "Bacterial small subunit ribosomal RNA", at positions 28 to 507 of the family's 1533-position model. The record is from RNAcentral.